GAAUGCUCCGAUUUGGGGUCUCCGGGAAUGCUCCGGAUACCUCGGGAUGAGCCGCUUUGGGGUGCCCUGGGAUGCCCCAGUCCGGGAUUCCCAGGGAUUCUCUGCUUUGGGGUGCCCGGGAAUGUUUUGGAUACCUGGGAAUGCUUUGGAUACCUGGGAAUGCUCUGGUUUGGGGUUCCCACAGGUUCCGGUUUGGGGUUCCCCUGGAAUGCUCCGGUUGGGGAUUCCCAGGGAUGCUCCCAUUUGGGAUCCUCAGUUUGGGGUCCCCAGGGAAGCCUCGGUCUGGGAUUCCCAGGGAUGCUCCGCCUUGGGGUCUCCGGGAAUGCUCCGGAUACCUCGGGAUGAGCCGCUUUGGGGUGCCCUGGGAUGUCCCAGUCCGGGAUUCCCAGGGAUUCUCUGCUUUGGGGUGCCCGGGAAUGUUUUGGAUACCUGGGAAUGCUCUGGUUUGGGGCUCCCACAGGUUCCGGUUUGGGGUUCCCCUGGAGUGCUCCGGUUGGGGAUUCCCAGGGAUGCUCCCAUUUUGGGAUCCUCAGUUUGGGGUCCCCAGGGAAGCCCCGGUCUGGGAUUCCCAUUUGGGAUGCUCCGAUUUGGGGUCCCCAGGGAAGCCCCGGUCUGGGAUUCCCAGGGAUGUUCCGAUUUGGGGUCCCCAGGGAGGCCUCAGUUUGGGGUCACCGGAGACACUCCGGAUACCUGGGAACGCUCCGGAUUGGGAUCCCCGGGAAAGCUUUGGAUACCCCGGAAUGCUCCGAUUUGGGGUCCCCAGGGAUGCUCCGGAUACCUCGGGAUGAGCCGCUUUGGGGUGCCCUGGGAUGUCCCAGUCCGGGAUUCCCAGGGAUUCUCUGCUUUGGGGUGCCCGGGAAUGUUUUGGAUACCUGGGAAUGCUUUGGAUACCUGGGAAUGCUCUGGUUUGGGGUUCCCACAGGUUCCGGUUUGGGGUUCCCCUGGAAUGCUCCGGUUGGGGAUUCCCAGGGAUGCUCCCAUUUUGGGAUCCUCAGUUUGGGGUCCCCAGGGAAGCCCCGGUCUGGGAUUCCCAGGGAUGCUCCGCCUUGGGGUCUCCGGGAAUGCUCCGGAUACCUCGGGAUGAGCCGCUUUGGGGUGCCCUGGGAUGUCCCAGUCCGGGAUUCCCAGGGAUUCUCUGCUUUGGGGUGCCCGGGAAUGUUUUGGAUACCUGGGAAUGCUCUGGUUUGGGGCUCCCACAGGUUCCGGUUUGGGGUUCCCCUGGAGUGCUCCGGUUGGGGAUUCCCAGGGAUGCUCCCAUUUUGGGAUCCUCAGUUUGGGGUCCCCAGGGAAGCCCCGGUCUGGGAUUCCCAUUUGGGAUGCUCCGAUUUGGGGUCCCCAGGGAAGCCCCGGUCUGGGAUUCCCAGGGAUGCUCCGAUUUGGGGUCCCCGGGGGUGCUCAGGGUCCCCAGGGAUGCUCCGAUUUGGGGUCCCCAGGGAUGCUCCGGUUUGGGAUCCCCAGGGAUGCCCCAUUUGGGGUCCCCAGGGAUGCCCCAUUUGGGGUCCCAGGGAUGCUUCACUUUGGGAUCCCCAGGGAUGCCCCAUUUGGGGUCCCCAGAGAUGCCCCAUUUGGGGUCCCAGAGAUGCCCCAUUUGGGGUCCCAGGGAUGCCCCAUUCGGGAUCCCCAGGGAUGCCCCAUUUGGGGUCCCAGGGAUGCCCCAUUUGGGGUCCCCAGGGAUGCCCCAUUUGGGGUCCCAGGGAUGCUUCACUUUGGGAUCCCCAGGGAUGCCCCAUUCGGGAUCCCCAGGGAUGCCCCAUUUGGGGUCCCAGGGAUGCCCCAUUUGGGGUCCCCAGGGAUGCCCCAUUUGGGGUCCCAGGGAUGCUUCACUUUGGGAUCCCCAGGGAUGCCCCAUUUGGGGUCCCCAGGGAUGCCCCAUUUGGGGUCCCAGAGAUGCCCCAUUUGGGGUCCCAGGGAUGCCCCAUUUGGGGUCCCCAGGGAUGCCCCAUUUGGGGUCCCCAGGGAUGCCCCAUUUGGGGUCCCCAGGGAUGCCCCAUUUGGGGUCCCCAGGGAUGCCCCAUUUGGGGACAGGGGCUGCAGGAGCCCCCUCUGCACCCCCCGGGCAGGAGCAGCGGCAGGGAGGGGACACAGGGGACGCAUUUUGGGGUCAUUUCCCGCCCUCCCACCCCUCACCCCGUUCCUCUCCCCCCUAAGGCAGCCCCAAACCCCUCUAUGGGGCCGCGGAAAGGGAUCCCAAUCCUUCCCUUCCCCUUUCACCCCCUGUUCCCUCUCACCCUUUUGUGGUUUUGUGGGUUUUUCUCUAUUUAG
Molecule: long non-coding RNA, 2262 nt
Filed under: Corvus moneduloides (New Caledonian crow)
Lineage: Eukaryota; Metazoa; Chordata; Aves; Passeriformes; Corvidae
Description: lncRNA (ENSCMUG00000019329.1)
Source: RNAcentral